AGUGAACGCUGGCGGUAGGCCUAACACAUGCGAGUCGAACGGCAGCACAGUAAGAGCUUGCUCUUACGGGUGGCGAGUGGCGGACGGGUGAGGAAUACAUCGGAAUCUACUUUUUCGUGGGGGAUAACGUAGGGAAACUUACGCUAAUACCGCAUACGACCUACGGGUGAAAGCAGGGGAUCUUCGGACCUUGCGCGAUUGAAUGAGCCGAUGUCGGAUUAGCUAGUUGGCGGGGUAAAGGCCCACCAAGGCGACGAUCCGUAGCUGGUCUGAGAGGAUGAUCAGCCACACUGGAACGGAGACACGGUCCAGACUCCUACGGGAGGCAGCAGUGGGGAAUAUUGGACAAUGGGCGCAAGCCUGAUCCAGCCAUACCGCGUGGGUGAAGAAGGCCUUCGGGUUGUAAAGCCCUUUUGUUGGGAAAGAAAAGCAGCAGGUUAAUACCCCGCUGUUCUGACGGUACCCAAAGAAUAAGCACCGGCUAACUUCGUG
This 492-nucleotide ribosomal RNA is filed under the name uncultured bacterium. RNAcentral describes it as "partial 16S ribosomal RNA". It matches the Rfam family "Bacterial small subunit ribosomal RNA", at positions 29 to 507 of the family's 1533-position model. The record is from RNAcentral.